This 446-nucleotide ribosomal RNA is filed under the name uncultured bacterium. RNAcentral describes it as "bacterial SSU rRNA". It matches the Rfam family "Bacterial small subunit ribosomal RNA", at positions 329 to 792 of the family's 1533-position model. The record is from RNAcentral.
GCCCAGACUCCUACGGGAGGCAGCAGUGGGGAAUAUUGCACAAUGGGGGGAACCCUGAUGCAGCGACGCCGCGUGAGUGAAGAAGUCUUUCGGUAUGUAAAGCUCUAUCAGCAGGGAAGAAGAUGACGGUACCUGACUAAGAAGCCCCGGCUAACUACGUGCCAGCAGCCGCGGUAAUACGUAGGGGGCAAGCGUUAUCCGGAUUUACUGGGUGUAAAGGGAGCGUAGACGGCAGGGCAAGUCUGGAGUGAAAGCCCGGGGCUCAACCCCGGGACUGCUUUGGAAACUGUGUUGCUGGAGUGCUGGAGAGGCAAGCGGAAUUUCUAGUGUAGCGGUGAAAUGCGUAGAUAUUAGGAAGAACACCAGUGGCGAAGGCGGCUUGCUGGACAGUAACUGACGUUGAGGCUCGAAAGCGUGGGGAGCAAACAGGAUUAGAUACCCGUGUA